RNAcentral lists this long non-coding RNA (2512 nucleotides) under Mus musculus (house mouse). Its description in RNAcentral is "RIKEN cDNA A730009L09 gene". The record is from RNAcentral. Lineage: Eukaryota; Metazoa; Chordata; Mammalia; Rodentia; Muridae.
AGCAAUGGCACUUCUAAAGUAAGCUGGCACCCAGCUCCGGGGGAUCCGUAAUACGCACAGAUCUUGUCUUCUUAUGGAUUUAACAACUGUGCUUUAAUCUGCUUAAGUUCCGGUACUCCUAUCUUCUUCUCUUCCUUUUGAUAGAACUAAACAAGCUCCCAGAGACAGUGCUGUCCCUGAGAUUGCAAAUUAAGGAGUUAGAAAUCAAAAGAAGAUAAAGAAGGCUUGUGACAUCGGUAAUAUUAUAAAUGGCCAUUCUGGACUGCUUUAAAGUCAGAGUACCUUUUGAUGCCCCAGCCCCCAUAAUGGGUUUGAGCCUCACAUCUGCUAAACAAGUGCUGUACCCCUGUGCUGACUGGCGUUCUGUCAACUUGACAGAAGGUAAGAGUCAUCAGAGAGGAAGCCUCAAUAAAUGUGCCUCCAUGAGAUCCCACUGCGGGCAAAACCGUGUUGCAUUUUUAAAUUAGCGAUUGAUGGAGGAGGGCCCAGCCCAUUGUGGGUGAUGACACGUCUGGUCUGGUAGUCCUAUAAGAAAGCUGGUAAUUCUAUAAGAAAGUAGGUUGAGGAGACAAUGACGAGAAAGCCAGUAAGCAGCACCCCUCCGUGGCCUUUUCAUCAGCUCCUGCCUCCAGGUCCCCAAGUUGCUUGAGUUCCUGUCCUCUUUUGAUGGUGAACUGUUAUAAGGAGCUCUGAAUGAAAUGAACCCUUUCCUCCAUGUGUUGCUUGUGGUUAUGUUUUAUCACAGAAAUAGUAACCAUGACUAAGACAAGUGCUAAACUACAGCUGCAGUUCAGAGAUUCUCAUGAAAAGUCCCAGGGUCCGUCCCUGUUGCCUGUGCAAAUGCGCUCAUCUCUUUAUUUCCACGCAGAAUCUGCCGCUCAGGAGAAGCCAACUCUGCCACCCUCUAGGGCAGCUGCCGGAGCAGACUAUUUUUAGUUCAAGCUAAAUUCACUCCAUUUGCCAGCCACAUUCAAUAUUGCAAUGUGGUCAAAUUCAAACUAGUCCUAGGGUCUCCAAGUGCUCACCACCUCCCUCUGAACUAUAUCAUGCGACUUACCCAAACUGAACUAGUCUCUCCAGGAAUGGUGCCAUUAGAUGAAUACAGCCAAGAAAUGAGCAAGGGAAAGCCGCCAGAGCCACGGGAUUGCUAAUGUUCUGGACUUUCGAUUAUAUGAGCCAAUAAACUUUCUCAAGCUUUGAGCACUCUGAAAUGAGUUUCCUUUUGAUUGCUCCUGGAGGCGCCCUCACUGGUACACAUGCUUUUUUGUUACUCUUUUAAAACCUGGACCUCCAAGAACACUGUGUAGAUUCGAUCAACGAUGGCUUCCUCGUUGUGUUGCCCUGCUGGGGAUGGAAGAUUUGUAGAUAAAGACUUGAUUGGGAAAGCUUUCAAUUCCGCCGAAGCUUCAUGUCUCCAGUGCAUAGAAAUUUCCUGAUGAUGUGAUAUGGGAAUACAGGUAAAACUGCAGCUUCCCAGGGCCACUAAAACGUGCACAAUAGAACCUUCUCCUCGUGAAAGGAAAGCUCAAUAGUGAAAUCUAAUGGGAAUAAAUACAGCUAACAGCAGGCCUCGGCAAAGAAGGGUGGAGGAUAGAGAGUUACUAUAAUUUAUAGACAAGAGGGGGGGGUAUAUGAAGAACACGUUUGUGUCUUUCCAUUUUACUAAGUUAGCCAUGAAAACUAAAAUAUACGCUCGCUUGAAGCCCAAAUGAGUGAUAUCUUCAUUUGCUUUGUAAACAGAACCACAGUCUUCAAAAUGAAGAAAAUCAUUUGAGGGAAAUGGAAUUUUGUGUGCUGUCUUACUUUUCUUUGGCUACUCUAGCAAAAGUUGGUAGUCUGGUCAUUUAUAAGCAAGAGAAAUGAAUUACUCACAGUCCUGGAAGUUGGCCAGGCUAACACACUUGGUGCCUAGAGAGGAGACAUUGGCUGCCUCGCAGAUGCACCCUGUGGCUUUGUUUCCCACGGUGGAAGAGGCAAACAAGAUCCCUUGGGCCUGCCUUCUUGUGGCACUAAUCUUACUCAUGAGGCUUCUACCCUACGACCCCACCAAAUAUUCUGUUUCUCAACACCAAGUGGGAUUAGGGAUUCCAUCUCAACAUAGGAGUUCUGGGAGAACAAGAAUCCUUAUCCUACAGCAAUGAUGCCCCACACUCGCUCACUAAGAGCUAAGAAAGCCAUGCUACCAAACUCUGUGCCAUCUGGAUUAGAUAGCUUUCUUUCCAUUUCAUAACUGGAUGAUUUUUAGAUAGACAUGUGUGGCUGACAGAAAAUGCUCUGCUGGUCUCUGGUCCCCUAAUCAGGAUGAUUUGGAAAAGGAGAAAUAGCAUGCAACCAGGGUUGAGGCAGAAGAGCAAAGAAACUCAAACUGUAGCUCCCGAUCUUCCAAGUAUUAUUUUAGAACAAGGUACAUAAUUUCUCUUCAAAUUUAUGUAGGAUACAAGAUUUUUAAAGGUAAAUGGAAUAUAAUAAAAAUUAUUUUUAAAAUAAAGUAUACCUCUAUUUUAGUUUGUUG